GUUUCCAGUAGUGGUCACUCGCAUAGUUGCCAACAUUUGAAAAUCUUUCCAUGGACAUUUUGUGGGAAAGUAGAAACACCGAUACACUCAAAGAGAUAUAAAUUUAGUAGACUUGUUGUUUAAUUUUGUUCUGAACUGUAGUUAGUCUGAAUUUGGCCUGAUCAAAGGUUAAAUGUAGCAGGGUGCCGACACUAAUUAAAAGCGCAAUGGCC
This is a non-coding RNA of Pelobates cultripes (western spadefoot toad), 212 nucleotides long. NCBI's taxonomy places the organism in Eukaryota, Metazoa, Chordata, Amphibia, Anura, Pelobatidae. The record is from the annotation of a GenBank genome assembly.